GGUCCACACCAGUGUCCUACCUGACCACAAGGAACCAAGAGCAGAUGUUGGGCGAAGCUUCCUGGGCUGUGCAACUUUUAGAGUGGGUGAUCUGGUAAAGUCAAAGGAGCAGCAGUUGACCCUCACCCUCAGGACAUCUGAUGGUGGAAAGACAGUUGGUACCAUUGAAGUCAAUCUUAUGAAGAUGGGAGAGCUGGAUGAGGGGGA
Molecule: long non-coding RNA, 207 nt
Organism: Melozone crissalis (California towhee)
Lineage: Eukaryota; Metazoa; Chordata; Aves; Passeriformes; Passerellidae
Exons: 3
Source: RefSeq, a predicted model, not a curated record